CCGACGGUGAGAGACGAAGCCUAGGGGCACGAACCGGAUUAGAUACCCGGGUAGUCCUAGGUGUAAACGCUGUGGACUUGGUGUUGGGGAUUCUCCGAGGAUUCUCAGUGCCGAAGCGAAGGUGAUAAGUCCACUGCCUGGGGAGUACGGUCGCAAGGCUGAAACUUAAAGGAAUUGGCGGGGGAGCACCGCAACCUGAGGAUUGUGCGGUUUAAUUGGAUUCAACGCCGGAAAACUCACCAGUGCCGACGGACAAAUGAAAGCCAGUUUAAUGAGCUUGCUGGAUUGUUCGAGAGGUAGUGCAUGGCCGUCGUCAGUUCGUACCGUAAGGCGUUCUGUUAAGUCAGAUAACGAACGAGACCCUCAUCGCUAUUUGCUAAGGUCAGUCCGCUGAUCACAGGACUAUAGCGAGACCGCUGGCGCUAAGUCAGAGGAAGGCGAGGGCAACGGUAGGUCAGUAUGCUCCGAAUGCACUGGGCUACACGCGCAAUACAAAGGACGGGACAAUGGGCCGCUGCGCCGAGAGGCAUGUGGCUAUCUCGAAACCCGUUCGUAGUUCGGAUUGAGGGCUGUAACUCGCCCUCAUGAAGCUGGAUUAGGUAGUAAUCGCGUCUCAAAAAGGCGCGGUGAAUAUGCCCCUGCUCCUUGCACACACCGCCCGU
Molecule: ribosomal RNA, 662 nt
Filed under: uncultured archaeon
Lineage: Archaea
Description: bacterial SSU rRNA
Rfam family: Archaeal small subunit ribosomal RNA
Source: RNAcentral